GGAUCUGUCCAUUGGUCGGGCCUCACGGUCCGUACUGGUGUGAUGGGUUCCUACCUUCUGAAUAACCAGCAUGCCAUUCAGUUGGUGCGCUGGGGAAGCAGAGCUAUUACCUUGAAAAAUUAGAGUGCUUAAAGCAGGCUAGUGCUUGAAUAGAUUAGCAUGGAAUAAUAAAAUAGGACGGCUUGGUUCUAUUUUGUUGGUUUCUAGGAUCACCGUAAUG
RNAcentral lists this ribosomal RNA (220 nucleotides) under uncultured fungus. RNAcentral's name for it is "partial 18S ribosomal RNA". The stretch from base 91 to 220 matches the Rfam family "Eukaryotic small subunit ribosomal RNA", at positions 736 to 867 of the family's 1831-position model. Lineage: Eukaryota; Fungi. The record is from RNAcentral.